This 406-nucleotide ribosomal RNA is filed under the name uncultured bacterium. RNAcentral describes it as "partial 16S ribosomal RNA". It matches the Rfam family "Bacterial small subunit ribosomal RNA", at positions 30 to 526 of the family's 1533-position model. The record is from RNAcentral.
AUUGAACGCUGGCGGCAGGCUUAACACAUGCAAGUCGAACGAGCGGCGGACGGGUGAGUAAUGUCUGGGAACCUGCCCGAUGGAGGGGGAUAACUACUGGAAACAGUAGCUAAUACCGCAUACCAUCAGAGGUGCCCAGAUGGGAUUAGCUAGUGGGUGGGGUAAUGGCUCCCCAAGGCAACGAUCCCUAGCUGGUUUGAGAGGAGGACCAGCCACACUGGAACUGAGACACGGACCAGACUCCUACGGGAGGCAGCAGUGGGGAAUGUUGGACAAUGGGGGAAAGCCUGAUACAGCCAUGCCGCGUGUGUGAAGAAGGCCUUCGGGUUGUAAAGCACUUUCAGCGAGGAGGCGUUACUCGCAGAAGAAGCACCGGCUAACUACGUGCCAGCAGCCGCGGUAAUUC